GGGCCAAAGGUAAGUGAUUGCAGAUUCCGUGAUCAUCGAAUCUUUGAACGCACCUUGCGCUCUAUGGUAUUCCGUAGAGCAUGCCUGUUUGAGUGCCAUGAAUUCUCCCACCCCAAGCGGUUUUUAUCAAAUAAUUGCUGAGCGAAGGGGUUGGGAUGGGCGCUUCUAUAACUGCUUUUCUUCUCUAGAAAAGCUCGCCCGAAAAAGUUUAUUGAAACAUGGGCCACUUUGCUUCCUGUUUGCUAAGGGGAGAACCGGCCGUGUUUUUUCCCAGCCAUGGGAAGAUACUGAUUUUUCAUUGGCUAUGAAGUAAGAAAUGAUUUGGUUGGUCUGCUUUA
Molecule: unclassified non-coding RNA, 338 nt
Filed under: Malassezia globosa
Lineage: Eukaryota; Fungi; Basidiomycota; Malasseziomycetes; Malasseziales; Malasseziaceae
Description: sequence contains ITS2
Rfam family: 5.8S ribosomal RNA (bases 1-98)
Source: RNAcentral